GAUGAACGCUGGCGGCGUGCCUAAUACAUGCAAGUCGAGCGAACGGACGAGAAGCUUGCUUCUCUGAUGUUAGCGGCGGACGGGUGAGUAACACGUGGAUAACCUACCUAUAAGACUGGGAUAACUUCGGGAAACCGGAGCUAAUACCGGAUGAUACUUCGAACCGCAUGGUUCAAAAGUGAAAGACGGUCUUGCGGUCACUUAUAGACGGAUCCGCGCUGCAUUAGCUAGUUGGUAAGGUAACGGCUUACCAAUGCAACGAUGCAUAGCCGACCUGAGAGGGUGCUCGGCCACCCUGGCACUGGGACACGGUCCAGACUCCUACGGGAGGCAGCAGUAGGGAAUCUUCCGCAAUGCGCUAAGGCCUGACGGAACCCCGCCGCUUGCGUGAUGAAGCUCUUCGGAUCGUAACACUCUGUUAUUAGGGAAGAACAUAUGUGUACGUACCUGUGCACAUCUUGACGGUCCCCAAUCAGAAAGCCACGGCUAACUACGUG
RNAcentral lists this ribosomal RNA (497 nucleotides) under uncultured bacterium. RNAcentral describes it as "partial 16S ribosomal RNA". It matches the Rfam family "Bacterial small subunit ribosomal RNA", at positions 28 to 507 of the family's 1533-position model. The record is from RNAcentral.